CGGACAAAACAACAUGUAAACAUCAGCUGAACUCAAGGUUGUGAUUUCCACUUUUCAAAAUCAUAUUUUUGUCCCUGUCACUUGUACAGUUUCAGUUUGAUUAAUUGGCUAAUUUUGCCUCUCAUGCAACCUACAAGCUGCUCGACCUGGGACUGCUUGGUUCACUUUCUGUCUCCAGGGCUGCAGACCCAUUAGGAGAUUGAUCAGCGGCAUGGGACACACCUGGGCCUGGUGUGCCCCAUGCAUAUAAGCCAGAGCAGCAGCCAGUCUUUGGGCAGAUCUUCUCACAGCAUGUCUUCUGUGUGGUGGCUUUUGAACACCAAGCAAAGUAUUAUAUUGCAGUAAAAGACAGCAGUCUUUAAAGAACAGCUGCAAGGAUGUGGGAAAUGUGGGAGAGAGAGGGGAUGACAUGCAGCAAAGAGCCACGGGCCGGACCCGGACCCGGGCCGCUGCAGCAAGGACUCAGCCUUGUACAUGGGGCACGUGCUCUACCAGGUGAGCUACUGAGGCGCCCCAAGGCUCAUUGUUGACAUUAGAAAAGGUACUUUCAGACUGGCCAAUACAGGGAGUGUAGCCACUCAUUCAUCUCAACUUUUUUUCUUCUCAACUGUAAUUUUUAAAAACCUAACCAGGGACGGGGGGCUUGAAAUUGGCUUGAG
Long non-coding RNA from Siniperca chuatsi (mandarin fish), 659 nucleotides. RefSeq lists it as uncharacterized. The record is from RefSeq and is a predicted model, not a curated record. The transcript has 3 exons. NCBI's taxonomy places the organism in Eukaryota, Metazoa, Chordata, Actinopteri, Centrarchiformes, Sinipercidae.